AUGGCAUUCAACUCAAACCAUCAUGCUUAUGUGAGCAAUAGCACGGAAAGUGUUCAAGACUUGAUAAGUAAAAUUUCCUAUCAGUUAGAUGAUUUAGCUCGGCAGCGAGGUAUAGUUUUUGAGGAUAUGCCUAGCUCUUAUGAUGCUUAUUCUAGAGGCCAUCCUUAUGUUGCUCCUACAUGCCAUAUUUGUGGAUUUCAGGGCCAUUCACCCGCUGAAUGUCAACGUGGUUACUCUCAUCCUCCGGAUUGUUUUGCUAUGAACUUUGCUCAACAGCAUGGCUCAUGCCAAAACAAUUACUCAUAUGGGUGGCCUGAAAACCCGAAUAUGUCAUAUAGGAGCAACAACCCUGAGAUCUCAUCAUUUGCUUCUAGUAAUCAUAUGCAGGGAUUUAGGUAUGAAGAGGAGAGCCACAACCAUGCACCACAAUAG
This 432-nucleotide ribosomal RNA is filed under the name Triticum aestivum (bread wheat). RNAcentral describes it as "partial small subunit ribosomal RNA". The record is from RNAcentral. Lineage: Eukaryota; Viridiplantae; Streptophyta; Magnoliopsida; Poales; Poaceae.